Molecule: transfer RNA, 67 nt
Filed under: Geoscapheus dilatatus
Lineage: Eukaryota; Metazoa; Arthropoda; Insecta; Blattodea; Blaberidae
Description: tRNA-Pro
Source: RNAcentral
CAGGGAAUAGUUUAUAAUAAAAUAUUAAUUUUGGAAAUUAAUGAGAAAGUAUUUUCUUUUUCUCUGA